This 76-nucleotide transfer RNA is filed under the name Geobacter sulfurreducens. RNAcentral's name for it is "tRNA-Phe (GAA) (tRNA-Phe-GAA-1-1)". It matches the Rfam family "tRNA". Rfam says of the family: Transfer RNA (tRNA) molecules are approximately 80 nucleotides in length. Their secondary structure includes four short double-helical elements and three loops (D, anti-codon, and T loops). RNAcentral also lists the same sequence under 5 other names. The record is from RNAcentral. Lineage: Bacteria; Pseudomonadati; Thermodesulfobacteriota; Desulfuromonadia; Geobacterales; Geobacteraceae.
GCCCAGAUAGCUCAGCUGGUAGAGCAGAGGACUGAAAAUCCUCGUGUCGGCGGUUCGAUUCCGUCUCUGGGCACCA